CAAAAAAAAAAAAAAAGGAAAAAAAAAAGAGUGGAGUAAUCUUUCACAGUAGAAGGGUUCCCAGAGGGAAGAGGGCAGCUCAGGAAAAAUAUACACAUUCAGUGAGUAAGGUCAGAGGGGAAUUUUUAAUAUUUUAUUUCAGAUCCUGCAUUCUGGUUUGAUACAGAUCUAAAAAUUACUGUCUUAAAAUACUCUGGUAUGAAUUUCCUGGUAUCAGCCAAAUCCGAUUUUGUUCAAACUUAAUGAAGUGAUAUGGGAAUGAGGAGAAAGAUGGGGGUAUAUGGAUAUGAUGGUUAUUUUUCUCAUUUAAUUUGAAAUGAAAUUUGCUCAGAAAUAAGGGGCUGUGGAAAACUUCCUUGGGAAAUGGCUGUAGAGCAUCCCUUACUGAAAUGUAAACGUAAAUGUAAAUUGUGAGUGUCAUUGCAAACCAGCAGGCUGUGCUUUUGCUGUGCCACAGCAUCAGGAAAGGCACUGCAAGGAAGUAGGGGAGAAAGGAGGAUGAUUCCCUAAUCCCAGGGUGUACCAUGGAUCCUGCUACACCCUGCACUGUACCACUGGCUCUAGGCUGUGAUCUCAUCUGAUCUCCAGCUCAGCUGGGUCAGAACAGGGAGAGAUGGCAGAGAGAUGUUCCUGAACAAAAAUCCAAACCUGAGAUGUUCCCAGAAGUGAGAGGUGACUGAAGGCAGUUGGCUUGGGUUGGGUGGGAUCCCCCUGGCCAGGGGAGAGAACUUUCUGCCACCUCUGGCCCCACAUCUGCACCCAAAUCAGCAAUGCCUACUGGCAGUCUGUGGUGUGGGGGAUGCCAACCACGUAGAACAUUUUCUCUUCCUUCCUAUAUGCCUGUCUCUUCAUGAAAGGAUCAUUUCUCCCAGGUGGUCUUCUGCAUAUUUACCUUCAAUCUCCUUGGCUUGUGCUUCAUUCCUUUCACUGUAUCACCUCAUCUCUGUCAGCAGGAUGAGUCUUGAAGGACAUUUUCUAUAAAGGACAGGUUCUCACUGUGACUUGUCAUCACCAACCCCAAGGAAGCCAAGAAAUGAUACAACCUCAGCCACCUGAAUAGGGCCACAACUUGCAGCUGUGCUGUUCCCACUGCACACAACACCUCCCUUUAUACAGGAUUUAUGGAUAUUGGUUAGUCUGACUGCUCUAUCAGAAAUUGCCAUAAAUAAAGUGCUGAGCAUGCUCAGAUUUACCAUGUACAUUUUUUGCAGUGGGUUAUCUGGUGCCACUUGUCCUGCAUUUCACAAUGCAAGAAACAUGCCAUGGUUAAUAACUUAAAUAAUCUGUGCUGAGAGACUUUUGUUGAAGGAGUGACUGAUCCAAAGCCUGUUGAAAUAAAUGUGAAGAAUAGCCUUGUCUCCAGUGGGCUUUGGACCAAGCCCAGGUUCAUGUUCCUAAUAUACUGUCUCUUUCCAUAAUUUUGUGAGAAUGGCUUUUUCUUUUGUGCAACAAGCCAUAGUGGAGGGGAGUGGGGAAGAAAGGAAGGCAAAAAGAACCACAGAAACUCUACUAAAGGAAUAUAAAAUGAAAACUGCAUUAAAAAUUUAGUAUGUGAGCAGAAACAGACUACUUUGCUCUGGAAGGGUGAAAGGAAGGAAAAAUUAUUAUUUUAAUAUGUACUAGGCAAGGACAAGCACAAAUGUGACCACGUCUGAGAACAGCAGAGAGCCGCAGCCUUGGCUUACAUUGAAAAGUUCUGGCAAAUAUCUCAGUUUAAAAGAAGGUGUGAGAAGGGAAGAGCCAGAUCUGGCACACCAGCCCCUUCAUGUUUGUGUGAAGCUGUACCACACUUAGCUUUCGAGACUUUUUGCCUGAUUUGAAUGCAUAUGUUUGAUAAAAGGAAAUGACAUAUUUAUGUUUACUCCUUACGUUACUCAGUCUCCAAAGGGAGCAGGGAGUUGGUACAGAGAGUUCUGUGAGCUUCUGGGUCAUUCUCACCAAAAUGACCUGAUAACUGAGGGUUACACUAAUUAAGAUAUGUAAAUCUAAGAGCACUUGGAGCUCAUGAGAUGUGUAGGUAUCUUUUAGAUUGCUAGUGGGGAAGGAAAAUGUUCUCAUGUGAGCACAGUGAGUUUGGGUUGGUUCCACUGCAGGGAUUUGUGGCCAUGCAGAGAUGCCCAGUGAGAUCUGCUGUGUUUCACCUAGUCAUGUUAGUCCAUCUGCAAGCAUCAUCAUGCAGAGUGAGACAGCAAAGAGCAGUGCUUAUGUAUGUUUUUUCUUUUUCUAAUGGGCUCCACUUGAAUUGUAUGAUUUUUAAAUUUUUUUCAUGGAGAAAAGCCAUCUUCUUGGGGAUAAAAGAAAAAUCAGUAGAAAAUAUGGUUGUGCCUUUCAAGAUUCUCAAUAUAGGAUUAGUUUCUUAAUGAAACUGUUUGUGCCUGUCAACAGAAUCUAUAUGGAGACUUCUGGAAAGAGCAUGACUGUGGAACCUCUUACAGAGAAAGGUUCUUCUUUGGGUGAUUAUUGCUCCUAAAAGCCGCUGUGCAGUCAAGAAGGAGAUCCGUGAAAGUGGGAAGAUGCAGACACACAAGUCUAGGCCAUCCACAUUAAACACCCAAGAGGGGGAAACAAACCCCCUCAUUUUCCUGCAGGAGUAGACAUGAGUAAGAGAUGUCAGUGCAGCUAUGACAUCUGUUUACAUGGGGAUUUUAUGCACCUGUUCACUAGGCAAUAACAAAUGCUUACCAUGGUGGUAGCUGUAUCACACGGUACAUAUGCUGCUUCUGACAUACAUAACACCUCUUUAAGGAAACACAUGGCCCCAUAUGUCAUGAGAACUUGUUUACAUUCUACAAUACAGUAAUGGAAAAUAUGUUUCAUAAUAAAUGUUUUCAUCAUUUUUGUGUUUAAGGAAAGAAUGGGAGUUUUACGCCCUAGCUGUCAAGCUGAGUGUCCUCCCUCAUUGUUCUCAUUGAGAGAUGUGUGUUUGUGGAGCAAACUUCCUACAAGCUUUCCAAGUUCAGCGAAGCUGGGAUCUCAACUGGUCAGUUUUAAUGGCUGAUGCUCAUGUGAAAGUAGUUCUUCUGUUUUCAAUCAUCAGUGUUUCCAGUUCAUACAGAGGAAUCUUUGUCCUUGCUUCACUUCUCACUGCUGAGGUGUCCUGUUUACAUCAGAGUGGUACAAGCUUUUGGAAUGGGAGAACAACAUCAUUUAAAAAAGAAAAUAACUUCAAAUCCCUACGGAAGAACAGUUCCCCAGCAUUUUUAGGCAGCAUAUAAUAUUCCAUCAGCCUGAAGCCAACUUUUUCUUUGAGUUAUUUUCAAGACAAGAAACAAUAUGAUAACAACCUACAGAAACUUGGAAGGGACCAGUCGACCUACAAAAGAGAUCUGCUGGACCCUGCGUGGAGAAGCAGACACAUGGAAGCCUUGCAAACAUAAAAGGCAGGAGUGGGUCUGGCCCCAGAUGAUGUAUUUUGACUAACUACUUCUGCAGAGCGAUUCCUUCUUUAGCAAAGACUGCUCUGUGUCCUACUCUUUCUUGACAAAUGACCUGGUUGGAAAGGCACAAGCCACAGCCAGCUCUCCCUGCUGACUCCUGCUUCCUGUGCAAGUCUGUUGAACUGGUGCCUCAGGCCUGAUACCUGCAGGACUGCAGGGAAAAGUUACUUUGACUUCAGCAGAGUGGAGAUCUUGCCAUCCAGAAUGGAGAUUUACUUCCUGCUGUGAGGAAGUCUGCUGAAUUUUAGACACAUGAGUCUUGCAUAGAGAAAGAAACUGUCCUUGGAGUUUGGUCUUCCAAAAUAAUGGUCCACUAAACAAAAGCAAGGGAAGAACAGCUCUGCCAUCUGCUAGGUAAACAGCUUCUGCCUGCUCUGACGUUAUUGUAGAAUAUUUGUCUGGAGCAUGUUCCUCAGCCUGUCUGAGGGCCAGGGGAGCCAUCUCCAUCUGCUGAACAUUCCUCAGAUGAACUACUGACCUCAACCGAUCCAACACCUGCAACACCUGCGAGCUGCUCAACCGUGGCCACCAGGCCGCUGAGUGACACCGAGCAAGAUGCUCCUGCAACAGCUUGGAGGAAACUGGGUGGCUUUUUUAUAGACUUUAAAAUGAAACAGGAAUCAAAACUCCUUCUGAUAGCGGUAAAGCUGGAAGCAAUUCCAAGCCUUUCUUGAGCAGAAAGGCUGCUCUUGACUGUUAUUCCCAGAAACAAACACUGUCAUCCGCUGAACACUUCAACCACACUAAAAGAGGCACCUGGACUCAGAAGAUUGAAGCUCUGCUCAGUUUUCUCAAGUUGGAUAUUCUGGUAUUUCUGGUGUAUCCUGCAUAUGUAGAAGCAGCAAAAUUUGUCUUGGGGAAGAGAGGCAUCAGCACAGAGAGGGGACAGAUGGUGAACGUUACCGAGACCAAACUACGGCUCGAUCUUCCCAGAGAGAGCGGGUCCUGCAAGAACAAGGAAAGAUAUCAGUUAAAUUGUUGCAAAUAUGCCCCAAACUGUUCUGAAAGAGCAUCUGAUUUCCUAAAUUAAUCUGAAAGGUAUGUUUUCAGAUUUCAGAACCCUCUCCUUAACCUCGGUUCCACAAAUAGCCUUAUGCUGAGAUGAAGUGUAGACAAACACACAAUAGAACUUUCUAACCAGAACUGCUGAGGGGUGUGUGCUAUAUCCUCUCAUAGCAACCAUAGGCCCCAGCUCAGCUUUGGAGGCUGAAUGGAUCCAGUGCCAUGGUUUCCAUGGUUGCACAGGGUCUCAUGUACCCAAUAGCAUUAAUAUUCCAGUCCUUAAUAGAAUAACUUGUGCAAAGGCAAUUUUUUCCUCUUUAUUUCCUGUCUUAAAUUACUGCUGUCCUAAUGACUGAAUAAAGUUAUAACAUGCAAGUUAUUCUACUAAAGCUUAAAAGGUUGUUGAGAUUGUCUUAGCAUGAGCUCAAGCCUGCAGUAUUUAUGUAAGAAAAAUUUCAGGUGCCUCCUGAGACAAUGCUGUUGGAUUUGGGUGGUAAAAUAAUGAUGUUUUUUCUCUUUACCAGUUUCUUAGUAUUUAUCUUUAAAAAAAUUUUGAUUGCCACUAAGAAGUUCAAAAUACUGACAAUGGCUGACCAGUUUUUGGAAGAAAAUAGUGUGAGUCUGAGAACUUAGAGGUGGGAACUCAGAUAUGAUAAUGUGACUUAAAUUUUAAGGGAUGGCCUUUUUUGUGUUUCAGAACAGAACUGGAGGUGAUUAUUGUCCUUGCCUUUUUUUGCCACCUAGGGUUCUCCAAAGCUCACCUCUUUUAGAAGUUUUCCACCACCUCAUUUUUUAUGUCCUUCUGAAAAAUCUCAGUAGUUAAUGAAGAGCUGUGGUAGCUCUUACAAGAAGGUCACUUCAGAACUACACCUCAGCCAAGUGUCAAAGAAAACUUCUCGACAAAUAUCCAUGUCCUUGGGUAGCUCCAGCUGACUGGGACUUCCCUACUCCUUAAAACCCCAAGAGCUUGGGGUGUGUGAAUGAUUCCUUUCAAGGUGACAAUAACUUGCAGGUGCUGUUCCAGUUCUGGGACAGGCCAUGGCUGAAUGAGGGGUUGGGUCAUGGGGAAAACUUGCUGUGGACAUCAUGGAGAUGUCUGUUUGAUGUACAGGAGAAAGAAAUGUUCUGGCAGUCCUUUUUUGAUGUUUCAAGGCUCAGUGGGAUAUCCAGCCCUACACAAGCAUGGGGUAUAAGUAUCUAAGUACCACAGUAUAAAAGAUGCAGAGGUCUGAAGAGAGCCCUCCAGAAACAGAACAGAAAGCUCCAAGAAAUUGUCCAAAUGAGUGCAACUUUGAUAUUUAUAAUGGUUAGUUGCUACUGAGGUAUAAUCAGUGCUGACUUCUGGCCUCCGCUCUACAACUGAAAGUCUGAGAGAGCACGUAGAGCUCUCUAAACCUUCCAGUGAUUUAUCUGCAGUGUUUAUUAUCUGGCUCACAGAUGUGUAUCAAGGUAUGGUUUAAAAAGAAGAGCUCCAUGUGCAAAAAGAUUACAUUUUUAGCUUGUGUAAACUGUUGUUCCCCCACCAAAGCCACGAAAGUUGCCAUGUGAUGUCCCCCAGCAGAGGAUCUGCUCUCCAACCAAUGUUUGGUUAUUGUUUUUGGCUGUGUCCAUGAAUAUUUCAGAGUGUGCUGGAGCUGGGCUCUGAAUGCCUUCAUUCACAGACCGCUGUAUAAAUGAUCAAAGGAGAGGCUUCUUCAUCUUGUGUGUAAUAAAUCCUCAGCUUUCAGGUCUGCUGAACUGGAGACUAUCAUGGAAAUACUUGUUCCUCAUGUGCAGAUCAGGAAGCUGGAGUCAAGUAUUUCUCCUGUUGGACAAAUGCCUCUGGAAUUCCACAAACUGCUUGGCAUAUCUGACAGAGCAGGCAGAAGAAUCCCAGCCUUUAUUUCCUGUACAGUCUGCCUGCAUGGAGCAUGGCUUUGGAGACACUGCUCCCUGCUUCAGGUCAAGUAGUGGCAGGGGAGAAGUGGCAUCUACCUGAAUAUCUGAAAAAAUGCAAGUAGAAGGAAAGAUUUGAAAACAAACAGUGUUGGGAUAAGCUUAUUUUUGGACUUCAAAGCAUUUGUUGUUGAAACAUUGCCUAGAUUUUUAACUAAUUUUAAGGGUUUUAAGGGUUUGCCUUAGCUUGAAACUCAUCUAGGUUUGUUUUGCAUCUUGAAGGUGUCUUUACAAAAUAGUGGUAAAACAAAAAAUUAUAUGGAAGAGUUUAAUGGAUCUUGAAAGGAAAUAAAGUUGUGGCUUUCUGGUACCUGGACACCUCAAAUCCUUCUGUGAUCUUGUCAUGAAUCUUGUCAGUGUCUUGUCAGUCCCUUGCCAUGAAUAAAUGAUAUAGGAAGAAAAUAGUGGUCUAUCACAACCCCUGUCCAUUUUUAGCUAAAAAAGUACCUGUGACUGCAUAUCUGAAUCAAACUAAUUUUAUCUAUAAAAAGUAGAGGAGGUGUGCCUUGCUAAUGGGUUCUUUUGACUUAAUCAUAAGUAGCUAUGGCCACAAUUACACACAGAUUCACUUUUGUGAAUUUGAAAACCCUGUGGAUCAUUUUUCUCUCUGGAGAGUGUAUACAUCAUUCCCAUUCAGAAUUCCAGUUGUCCCAAUUAAAGAGCACAAACUGGACUUUUGAAGUUUUCCAGGGUUUAUCAUCCAUGCCAUGCCUUCCUACACUUAACUGACAUAACUAAUAAAAAACCAAGUGCCAAAAUGUGGGAAAUCCAUGGCUGGAUUGCUCCAUGCAUCUCUGCUAACCUGUGUAUCACUUUUCUUUGUGCAGUUGUUCAAGAGUCUAAUGGAGAGUCCUGCCCUUUUGAAUGGGAAUAAUGCCAGCUGCAUUAACUGGGACAAGAUUAUUGACUGUCUGAGGCAAAGCUUAGAAGAUAAUUGUUGUGUUUAACUGUUAAUUCUUUAGCAUUAUCCCAGUAACUUGUUGAUGCAUCCAAGAGUUGCUUGAUGUCUAUAUAUACACACACCCACACAUGUGCACUUGCCUGCCUUUGGGAAUACCCUCACCCUUGUUAAUAUGAGUACAAAGCUUCACUGGGCUGUCUUAUUUGUAAACAGAAAAUGUUUGGACUUAUGUCCUGAUAAAAGGAGAUACUACAAACACAGUGUGGAGCUGUCUUUGUGUCUGUAUUCAUCUCAGAAACUCAGCAGCUCACCCUUGCAUGCAGACUGCCAUGGCUCAAGAUGCUGAAGAUGCAGAAACAGCAAAGGGAAAAAGUAACGCUGCACAUUGCUAACCCCCUGCUGCAGGGAUGGCUCACCCAUUUGGAGAGCUGUGCACAGCCCAUGACAUCCCUCACUCGGUAGGAUCUCUGUGAUCUGAGAAUUGGUACCUGCCACCCGAUGUGUCUCCUGCUGCUAGACAGGUCUAUGAAGUAAUGGAGCCUGGCUGUCUGCAGUCAGCACUGCUGUACUACAUCCAAAGCAAGCUUGCCAGUCAGCAAAUGCUGCAUUAAUCUUUCAGGGAGUGUUUGUUUUGCUUGUUUUGCUAGGCUGAGUUUCAAGCAACUGAUAAUGUGCUCAUGAGCAGUUCUCCUGUUGCAGCCCAUUUUUCAAAAAGAAGUGUGAAGGCCGAAGCUCCCAAGGUUGGGUGGAACAUGGGUUGGAAGGGUUAUAAAUGGUCUUGCUUCACUGUGUGAGCUCACAGCACUUUUGAGUGCAUGUUAAUACAUCUGCAGGUACAUUUGGGCCAGUGGAGCUGUGGCUCUUUGAAGUCUGAUGAGUGUUACAAGAAUAGACUUUGGACUUGGUUCUUCUCUGUUAAUGCUAACUCUGCUUGUGGAGUUAUCUCACUGCAAAUGAGAUGCACUUUUGUGUGCUGAGCAGUAGUCAAACCUUCUGACUGAUGAAGGAGAAACUCUGAAGGCUUCUGAGGGUUAGAUAAGACAAACAUUUUACAGGUCACAGGGUUUUAAGUGUUGAAAUGCCUGGAAUUUCAAGAGGUAAAUGACAGUGUGCCUGGCUUGUCCCCACUUGUCCCUGCAGUGCUGCUGCUCUGUCCAGCUGCAGCACUGAACUUACAGCUCUCACUUCAAGGCCCAUCCUUCCAAGUCUUUUUGCAUUUAGCUCCUCUAAGCAAAAAAGGAUUUAGACAUAUAAAUAACUUUUAGGAUGUGGAAAAUUCACAUGUUGUAUGUAUUUUGAUUCUUGUAUGUGCAGAACCUUUAAAUACAAGGCACUUUUCUGGAUUUCUCUUGGUGGUUUUUUAUUUUAAGACAUUCUGUGCUCUUUGAUGACUUGCAAAAUAAAAUCUCGCAACAUUUCCACAAGUGAAGAGAAUUUUAGCUCCCAGAGUGAGAACAGAAGGAUGCACUGUGAUCUUGAGGUCUUUUAGCCUGCUUACAUAGUCUGAAAGAAUGUGGCUGGGCAGUGAGUCUGUUACAAAAUGACAAUAACUUUUUAUG
Molecule: non-coding RNA, 8834 nt
Organism: Cyanistes caeruleus (blue tit)
Lineage: Eukaryota; Metazoa; Chordata; Aves; Passeriformes; Paridae
Source: RefSeq, a predicted model, not a curated record